AACACAUGCAAGUCGAACGCGUUUCCCGCAAGGGAGUACUAGUGGCGAACGGGUGAGUAACACGUGGGUGACCUACCUUCGAGUGGGGGAUAACGUCCCGAAAGGGACGCUAAUACCGCAUAACAUCCCGCCUUUGAACAGGCGGAGAUCAAAGCCGGGGAUCGUAAGACCUGGCGCUUGAUGAGGGGCCCGCGUCCGAUUAGCUAGUUGGUGAGGUAAUGGCUCACCAAGGCAACGAUCGGUAGCCGGCCUGAGAGGGCGGACGGCCACACUGGGACUGAGACACGGCCCAGACUCCUACGGGAGGCAGCAGUGGGGAAUUGUUCGCAAUGGGCGCAAGCCUGACGACGCAACGCCGCGUGGAGGAUGAAGGUCUUCGGAUUGUAAACUCCUGUUGCCUGGGACGAAUGGCUCCAACCUAAUACGUUGGAGUGUGACGGU
Molecule: ribosomal RNA, 441 nt
Filed under: grassland soil clone saf1_120
Lineage: Bacteria
Description: bacterial SSU rRNA
Rfam family: Bacterial small subunit ribosomal RNA
Source: RNAcentral